RNAcentral lists this ribosomal RNA (516 nucleotides) under uncultured bacterium. RNAcentral's name for it is "bacterial SSU rRNA". It matches the Rfam family "Bacterial small subunit ribosomal RNA", at positions 32 to 524 of the family's 1533-position model. The record is from RNAcentral.
AAUCAACGCUGGCGGCGUGCCUAACACAUGCAAGUCGAACGCGAAAGUGGAGCAAUCCAUGAGUAGAGUGGCAAACGGGUGAGUAACACGUGGGUGACCUGCCUUAGAGUGGGGGAUAACGUCCCGAAAGGGACGCUAAUACCGCAUAACAUGCUGCCUUUUAAGAGGUGGACAUCAAAGCCGGGGACCGCAAGGCCUGGCGCUUAAAGAGGGGCCCGCGCCUGAUUAGCUAGUUGGUGGGGUAAUGGCUCACCAAGGCAACGAUCAGUAUCCGGCCUGAGAGGGCGGACGGACACACUGGGACUGAGACACGGCCCAGACUCCUACGGGAGGCAGCAGUGGGAAUUGUUCGCAAUGGGCGCAAGCCUGACGACGCAACGCCGCGUGGAGGAUGAAGAUCUUCGGGUUGUAAACUCCUUUCGAUCGAGACGAAUGGCCCUUGGGCUAACAUCCCGAGGGAGUGACGGUACCGAGAGAAGAAGCCCCGGCUAACUCCGUGCCAGCAGCCGCGGUAAU